AUGUCCAGCACUGUGUCCCCAAAAGUCCCCUCCGCGAGCUCCUCCGCGGACCAGAGGACCGUCGUCGUGGGGGCAUUUUGUUGUCUGGUGUUUUUCUUCAUGAUCGUGGUGCUGCUGUUGAUCCUGUACCGGAAGGUUCCUCUCUGCUGCAAAAUGAGGGCUCUUCAGGAAUCUCGUACUGACAUGGAAUCUCCUCCUCAGUACUACAACAGCAGACAGACUCUUGUAGCUUCUUCUGAUGUGGAGCAAACACAUGACAGCGGUCUUGAUAACGUGAAUGCACGGUCGGGCUCGUUGUUCCUGAUCGGUGUGCCGAGCAGCUACUACCUUUCCCCGCUGGAGCCUCCUCUUCCUCGUCUGCCCUCGUACGAGAGCGUCCGCAAGAAAGACCGCCAGCGGCAGAUCCACAUGAUGAUAGCCGACCGCUUCGGCCUGAGCGGAUCAGUCGAGACAGAGCCGCCUCCCACAUAUGAGGAGAGCAUUCGUGAGUCCGUCCAGGGCAUUGAUGUCCCGUUUGACAUCCUGGCACCCGCGGAGGAGCUUACAGUCCCAGACACAGAUUUACCUGCAUAUGAAGAUCUACCUCAAAUCACAGACUCACAGGACCCCAGUCACACUGUUAAUUAAAGCACAAGAACACGAUCGGCAGCUGUUGAGCUGUCACUAGCCUGACGAGCAGCCGCUCUGCUUGCAAAAGACACCGAAAUAGGGACGGACUUGACCUAUGCAAUAACUUGCACAAGCACAAGACGAGAGGAGGAGGAUGUUGCAUCACUACUGGAAAAAGGGAAGAGAAGAACAAGAAUAUGCAAGAGUUUAAGUUCUGUCGCUGUUAAAAAAUGACAUGAAACUUCUACUUUAUAGAACUAUAAGGAUUGUAGAUAUUUCCAAGCCUCAACAUUACAUCACGUCCCAUGAUAUUAUUACAUUUAUACAUAAGUGGGGAAUGUUGAUUUCAUUUUGAUUAAAAAAAAUGUUGUUGUUUUUUCUUUUUGGGGGGGGAAUAACAUCCAUUUAUGAAAAAUAACACUAGUGACAUCUAUUAUAACCAUAAAUAAAGUCUAUCUUGAUUUCAUGUUGAAGUUCAUCUAAAACCAAAGUAGCAGCUGGUGUACUGUACUGACCUAAAGCACACAAAUAAUGAAGAUUUGAAGCCAUGUUUUUGUACAUUACGGGGAAAUUGUAUCACUAUUUUAGGCAGACGAGUUUUAAUUCAAUCCUGUUUUUAAACAAACUGCUCAUUUUUUUUUGUGUACAUGUUCCUUGUCGGACCAAAUGAUACUUUGCUGCGAUUCUAUUUGUUGAAUCUCUCUUUUUUUUAAAUAACCUUUUAUGAAUGCGCUCGAUUGUAUCACUGUGAAUAAAGAUGUUAAAUGUACAGUUUGCAGAAGUAAUACUAGACUUGGACUUGUUUCUUCUGAGAUUGGGUCACACUGAAUCAUCGGAUUUUCCUCGGUUUCUUCCCUUUACUGUCAAUACUCUACUCAGAGCAUAUGAUUUCAGAUACGUGUGCAUUCAAAUUCAAAUGGCUUGAAAGCAGUUUGAUGUGUAACAAGUUUGAGGUCACAGGUGUCCUCAUUUCCCUCUGAACACGCAUUUGCAUCUUUCAAAAACUACAUGAGAUAUAUUUUCCCUAGGGCACAAGAAUAAACCAGAUUUGAGAGGUUGUGCUGCGCUCUAAUAUAGUCACGGCUAAAUGAAACUGCAAUAAUAUCUUACCUGUUACUAUUUUAUAUAUUUAGCAUGUUAGACUUUAUUGACCAUGAAUCAACAGGAGAUCCACUCAAUGAUUAACCCACAUGGGAUUCACAUGUCUAACAAAACUGAGUGUUGAUUAAAAGAUCACUAAAAGAUGCAUUCAGUUGAUCAAAGUAAAUACAGAUGCAUAUUGUAACAAUUUUCUAUAAAAAAAAAAAUAAAAAAAAAAAAAAUAUAUAUAUAUAUAUAUAUAUAUAUAUAUAUAUAUAUAUAUAUAUAUAUAUAUAUAUAUAUAUAUAUAUAUAUAUUGAACUCUAUUUAUCAAAAAAAUACUUAAUGCAUCAUGUUUUCCAUAAAAAUAUAAAA
RNAcentral lists this long non-coding RNA (2064 nucleotides) under Carassius auratus (goldfish). Its description in RNAcentral is "lncRNA (ENSCARG00000054243.1)". Lineage: Eukaryota; Metazoa; Chordata; Actinopteri; Cypriniformes; Cyprinidae. The record is from RNAcentral.